AAUACGUUUUGGUUCUGAGCUGGCGUUUACGCACUGUGCUCGUCCAUACUAUUUAUCUUCUCUUGUGCACCUUUUGUAGUCUUCAAAGUCGAAAAGUGAACCUCUCGCAGCAAUGCGGUUUGGGGGACUUAGAGCUAACACCUCUUUCCCCUGCCUUGCUUUUUGGCUUUCGAAGGCUAUGUUUUCAUAUACACUAUAAAGUUACAGAAUGUCUUUUAACGAUCCUUAAAAAGAUCAUUAAACCUAUACAACUUUCAGCAACGGAUCUCUUGGCUCUCCCAUCGAUGAAGAACGCAGCGAAAUGCGAUAAGUAAUGUGAAUUGCAGAAUUCAGUGAAUCAUCGAAUCUUUGAACGCACCUUGCGCCCUUUGGUAUUCCGAAGGGCAUGCCUGUUUGAGUGUCAUUAAAUUAUCAACCUUUCUCGCUUGUUCGCAGGUUUGAGUUAGGCUUGGAUGUGAGGGUUUUUNGCUGNCUUCCUUCNNUGNAUGNNCUGCUCCCUUG
Molecule: unclassified non-coding RNA, 501 nt
Filed under: Mycena crocata
Lineage: Eukaryota; Fungi; Basidiomycota; Agaricomycetes; Agaricales; Mycenaceae
Description: sequence contains ITS1, 5.8S rRNA gene, ITS2
Rfam family: 5.8S ribosomal RNA (bases 250-403)
Source: RNAcentral